This is a long non-coding RNA of Boleophthalmus pectinirostris (great blue-spotted mudskipper), 407 nucleotides long. RefSeq lists it as uncharacterized. The transcript has 4 exons. The record is from RefSeq and is a predicted model, not a curated record. NCBI's taxonomy places the organism in Eukaryota, Metazoa, Chordata, Actinopteri, Gobiiformes, Gobiidae.
GGCUCACGAGGAAAUGAGGUCCUGUGUUCAAAAUUCCAAACUGUCCCUUUAACCUCAUGAAAUUACACAGCAUAAUGUACAUUUCUCUGUUGUAGGUCACAAGAACACACAGGGUGGGGGGCAGUUUCCUGUUGACAUAAACAACUCUGCACCAGCGUCAACCAUCUACAGUUCAACUGGUUCUGGGGCUGUGGACAAUAGGCCGAUUCACAAUGAAGAUGAGUACGAUGAUGCGGGGCCCAGUCGAAUCUACAUGCCUUUGAGGAAAACAAGUGAUGUCUAUGCCACUAUCCAUAACCAGCAAACUGCAACCCCAAGGAACAUCAACCAAAAAUGGUUGUAAUUUGUAUUUAUUUGUUCAGACUUUUUGUCAUGAGCAUUUUUGCAUUUGUUUCUUUGUUUUUCUU